This 497-nucleotide ribosomal RNA is filed under the name uncultured bacterium. RNAcentral's name for it is "partial 16S ribosomal RNA". It matches the Rfam family "Bacterial small subunit ribosomal RNA", at positions 28 to 507 of the family's 1533-position model. The record is from RNAcentral.
GAUGAACGCUGGCGGCGUGCCUAAUACAUGCAAGUCGAGCGAACGGACGAGAAGCUUGCUUCUCUGAUGUUAGCGGCGGACGGGUGAGUAACACGUGGAUAACCUACCUAUAAGACUGGGAUAACUUCGGGAAACCGGAGCUAAUACCGGAUGAUAUUUUGAACCGCAUGGUUCAAAAGUGAAAGACGGUCUUGCUGUCACUUAUAGAUGGAUCCGCGCUGCAUUAGCUAGUUGGUAAGGUAACGGCUUACCAAGGCAACGAUGCAUAGCCGACCUGAGAGGGUGAUCGGCCACACUGGAACUGAGACACGGUCCAGACUCCUACGGGAGGCAGCAGUAGGGAAUCUUCCGCAAUGGGCGAAAGCCUGACGGAGCAACGCCGCGUGAGUGAUGAAGGUCUUCGGCUCGUAAAACUCUGUUAUUAGGGAAGAACAUAUGUGUAAGUAACUGUGCACAUCUUGACGGUACCUAAUCAGAAAGCCACGGCUAACUACGUG